GCAUAUCAAUAAGCGGAGGAAAAGAAACCAACAGGGAUUGCCUCAGUAACGGCGAGUGAAGCGGCAACAGCUCAAAUUUGAAAUCUGGCCUCUUUCGGGGUCCGAGUUGUAAUUUGGAGAGGAUGCUUCGGGCGUGGCUCCGGUCUAAGUUCCUUGGAACAGGACGUCAUAGAGGGUGAGAAUCCCGUAUGUGACUGGAAGCCUCCGUCCAUGUGAAGCUCCUUCGACGAGUCGAGUUGUUUGGGAAUGCAGCUCAAAAUGGGUGGUAAAUUUCAUCUAAAGCUAAAUACUGGCCAGAGACCGAUAGCGCACAAGUAGAGUGAUCGAAAGAUGAAAAGCACUUUGGAAAGAGAGUUAAAAAGUACGUGAAAUUGUUGAAAGGGAAGCGCUUGCAACCAGACUUGCUCGCGGUUGCUCAGCCGGUGUUCUUCACCGGUGCACUCUUCCGCGAUCAGGCCAGCAUCGGUUUGGGCGGCUGGACAAAGGCCUCAGGAAUGUAGCUCCUUUCGGGGAGUGUUAUAGCCUGGGGUGUAAUGCAGCCUGCCUGGACCGAGNACCGCGCUUCGGCUAGGAUGCUGGCGUAAUGGUUGUAAGCGACCCGUCUUGAAACACGGACCA
RNAcentral lists this ribosomal RNA (618 nucleotides) under Atrozythia lignicola. Its description in RNAcentral is "eukaryotic LSU rRNA". It matches the Rfam family "Eukaryotic large subunit ribosomal RNA", at positions 38 to 668 of the family's 3401-position model. Lineage: Eukaryota; Fungi; Ascomycota; Sareomycetes; Sareales; Zythiaceae. The record is from RNAcentral.